RNAcentral lists this RNase P RNA (441 nucleotides) under human gut metagenome. RNAcentral describes it as "Bacterial RNase P class A". It matches the Rfam family "Bacterial RNase P class A". From Rfam's summary of the family: Ribonuclease P (RNase P) is a ubiquitous endoribonuclease, found in archaea, bacteria and eukarya as well as chloroplasts and mitochondria. Its best characterised activity is the generation of mature 5'-ends of tRNAs by cleaving the 5'-leader elements of precursor-tRNAs. Cellular RNase Ps are ribonucleoproteins. The record is from RNAcentral.
GUAAGACAGACAGUCGCGCGGCAUGGCCGAAAGGCCCGCUGUGAGGAAAGUCCGGGCUCCACAGGGCAAGGAUAACGGGUAACGCCCGCCCAGAGCGAUCUGAGGAAAAGUGCAACAGAAAUAGACUACCUGCGCGCUCUGCCUUUUCGAAUUUGCAGCAAAGGAGCAGGCAGCUCCGCCGCUUGCGCCCGCCCUUCUCGAUGGGAUGACGCUUCUGGUGCAGAUUGGAAAAGGCAAAGCGCUGCGGGAAAAGGUGGAAAGGUGCGGUAAGAGCGCACCCGUCGGCUCGAAAGUGUCCGAUGCUGUAAACUCUAUCCGGAGCAACACCGGUAUGGGAGCAAUGGCUUGCCCGGCCGCUCCCGGGGUGGCUGGAGCGCCGCGGCAACGCGGCGCGUAGAUAGAUGACUGUCAAAUACAGAACCCGGCUUACAGUUUUGCUCG